This 419-nucleotide ribosomal RNA is filed under the name uncultured bacterium. RNAcentral describes it as "bacterial SSU rRNA". It matches the Rfam family "Bacterial small subunit ribosomal RNA", at positions 99 to 507 of the family's 1533-position model. The record is from RNAcentral.
CGCACGGGUGCGUAACACGUAGGUAAUCAACCCUCUGGUUGGGGAUAACACUUCGAAAGGAGUGCUAAUACCCGGUAAUGGCGCAAGCGGUCUUCGGAAUUCGCGGCGAGAAAGACCCGCAAGGGUUGCCAGAGGACGAGCCUGCGGCCCAUCAGCUAGUUGGCGAGGUAACGGCUCACCAAGGCGAAGACGGGUAGCUGGUCUGAGAGGAUGAUCAGCCACACUGGAACUGAGACACGGUCCAGACUCCUACGGGAGGCAGCAGUGGGGAAUAUUGCGCAAUGGGCGAAAGCCUGACGCAGCCACGCCGCGUGAGCGAUGAAGGCCUUCGGGUCGUAAAGCUCUGUGGGAGAGAAGAUAAAGCCUGUGAAGAGCAGGCCUUGACGGUAUCUCCUUAGCAAGCACCGGCUAACUCCGUG